GCUCGCGACGGCGGCACGUAUACUAAAAUUGGAACAAUACAGAGAUUAGCAUGGCCCCUGUGCAAGGAGGGCACACAUAUUCGUGAAGCAUUCCAUAUUAAA
RNAcentral lists this small nuclear RNA (102 nucleotides) under Ursus thibetanus thibetanus. The record is from RNAcentral. Lineage: Eukaryota; Metazoa; Chordata; Mammalia; Carnivora; Ursidae.